Molecule: non-coding RNA, 13840 nt
Organism: Taeniopygia guttata (zebra finch)
Lineage: Eukaryota; Metazoa; Chordata; Aves; Passeriformes; Estrildidae
Source: RefSeq, a predicted model, not a curated record
CUUUCAACUUCCUUCUCUGCAUUGCUUUCCUUCUGGGUGAUUUGUUGCUGGAUCCUCUGAAUGCUUAUUUAUUCAUGCAUUUAUUUUUCAUUGCAGUUCUUUAUGUCUCUUGUAGGAAGGAAGACAAAGAAAAAGGAAGAAGAAGAUUUGAUGUGUCUCUUGGCUAGAAAUAUUUGUCCCCAGAUGGAAAUGAGUAAGGUUCUUCGCAUGGGUAGCUGGGGUUAGAAAACAGUCAGUGCCAGGCCAGAGAGACAAAUUAAGACUAUUUUUCUUUAGAACAUUGUCUUUUGAAAAUAAGAGAGUAGCAGUAUCAAAGAAACCUAUCAAGGACUAAGAUUUGGUGAGCAGGGACCUCCAAAACCAGAUAGAGGCUGAAGCUUUUUAUCAAUGAGGGCACCUUGUGAAUGUAAAUAAAUACCUGAAAUAGAUUUCAUGAGAAGAGGAAAGAUAUGAGAAAGAAGAAUUUUGUUUCUAGUCUUUAAAUUAAUAGUUACUAAAACCCAAAAAUGAAAUGGCAUUCAGAAGAAAUAGGAAACUGAAUCUAUUUAGAAUUUGGUCUUGAAACAGAUAUUCUCAUGUCUCUGAAUGACUAUUUGUGGUACAGUUUUCCCUCAGCUAGGUAAGGAACUUUAAUAGUGAUAAAAGUUUUUAGCUGGUAGGAGGUUUUUCAGUAUCAAAUUCUUCUCCUAUAAUUUGUUCUAAAGCUGAUUUUGUAGUGAUACAUGACAGGUUUUGUAAAUUGCCUCCCAUACUGCUUUAACAAGAGGUUCAACUUUUCUUCAGAGUCAUUCUGAACAGUGAUAAUGAUGGUCUUAAAUAGCAUAGAGGGAAAUCACCAAAACAGCCUCAGACAAGCAAGGGUGAAAAUGUAUGAUAAGAAGGAGUUCAGACUGUGUAAAACGGGAAAAAGUCUGGUCUGCAGUGAAGAGGCAAAAAGAAGAAAAUAGGGAAAGUUCUGAUAGCAACAAACCUAUUACAAAUUAUUUAGAAGAGCACAAAUACUAAACACAAAAUAUUCCAGUUUAUCUGAUGAGAAAUUUGAAUAGCUCUACAAUCAACUGCCUCUGUUCUGUGGCACUGGUUAAGCUAUGUAACACCAAAGGAAAAGAGAGAUAAACAGAAAGCACUCUUUAUCACUUGUUCAAUUCUGCAUGCUAAAGGAACAGAAAUUAUUACAUAAAACUCUACAAACAACCAAUAAAAUCAAAAGAAGUAUAUUGAUCCAGCUAAAUCUCUGUGAAUAUUUCACAUCUCUCUAUUAUUCUAUUUGGUGACUGCUAAAUUGGUAAUUACACCAUACAGUUAAUUAUACUUUAAGUUUUCCCACACAUUAGAAAACUUUGACACUUUAUAGAUAUGUUUUUAUUUCAUUAGAAAAUAUCUCUGUGAUUUCUGUAUACUGACCUAUGAAGUGACUUGUCACUUUUCCUUAUGGAAAAAAAAAAAUGAAAGGAGAAAUUAUAGAGGAUAAUAAAACUACAAGUGGCAUAAAGUAAGAUGGACAGAAAUUGUUAAUUUUCUUUUCCAGUGCAGGAAAGAACAGGUGUCAAAUUGAGACAGUAGGAAGACUUUUCAGGACAGAAAAAUGUAUGUGCAAAAGACCUUGUAAAACUAACACAGAUCCAAGAAGUUCACGUAGGUUGGUAGACUGGGAGAUGGAAAAGGUUUAUGGAAAAGAAAUUUGUGGUGAGUUGCAAAUUAAUAGGACGACAUAGACUCAGGAGAUUUUCAAUGUGAAAAUAGCUGGAGCGUGAAAUUAGCAUUACACAGAAGUGUCAUUUUAUAACCUUGUCCCGCUCUUCCUUUUUCAAGCCAUUCACUUGUGGAUAUUGAGGGAUACAGAACACAAGUCAGCCUUUGGCUUGAGCCACUACAGCUGUUUAAAGUGUGCUAGGUUCUAUAACUGCUGCCUCUCAUUCAUGUCUCCAAGUGAAACCAUAAAUGUGUCUUCAAAUUUAUUUGACUCCAUGAAUGUAAUAUAGCCUAAGUAACUAAUCUAUGAAUUCUUAAAACCCUUUUAAUAACCUGCAAGCUUUACUUAUAUUCCUACUGGAUAUUUAUUUAUUUAUUUAUUUAUUGCAUUUUGUGUGUAUUAUCCACAACCUCUAUUGUGACCAUAUUUCCUCCCCCUGUUUCUCUGACAAAGUUUUCCCUUCCUAUUAUUUCUACCACUCUCAGUUUCUAAGAGCAUUGAGUUUUACAAUUGAGCUGAAAUAACACUCUGUUCUGGGUUUUUUUCUUCUACAUUUAAGCUGAAAAUUGGCAGCACUUUUCCUGUCAAGUAUCAGGUUUAAUUUGUGAACAGUUAUUAUUGGAUUUAAAUUCUCUUUUUAAUCCUGUCCCCUCCAUUAUGUAGAAUAAAUUUUAGAUAUGUAACUAAAAGGAGACUCUUGUCCAUAUCUACAAAUAUUAGACAAAUAUUUUAACGAUUUGAUGUCCCCUGAAAAAUUCUGCCAGUAAAAUUUUAAAAACAAAAUUCUCACUUUUAAAACAAAAGUUUUAUCUACAUAGUUUUAUCUCCCAACAGGAAGCAGUCUGCUAUACCUGGCUUGUUCAGACAAUAUAUCCUUGGUUAAGCAUUUAUCUCUUGCUGGGCAUACACAUCAAGCUGUCUUGCCAGUUCUUUUUCUUAUGCAGCCCUAAUGUACUUUAUAAAUUCUACAUCAGAAUCACUUUAUCCAAUACUGAAUUUUAUUCACAUAUCAGCUGAAGCAUAACUGUCUAGAAACAUUCUGCAACACCUUCACAGCAAAAGAGAUCAACAAAUUAAGGUGAAAAUGCAAGGAUAAGUUUUCAAAUAUACACAAAUUAAGUAGCUAAAUUAGUGUAAUGAUCAGUAUACUAUCUUUACACUUAAGGAGAGUACCAAGAAAAAAAUAUUAAUCUAUAAUAGGCAGAAGUCUUAAUAUUAUUUGACAUUUUAUUUUUAUUGCUUAACAUUCAGAAAACAAUCCACUUUUUAAAAGCAAACAUCUACCACUCAUUUAUAGGAUGUCAUGCUUAUUGCUUUCUUCCAUGUUAGAGAAUUACGAUGGUAUUAAGAUGCUGCCUUAUGUUAACUCCGAAAAUACUUACUCAUUUUGGUAACAGUGCUACUGCACCAGUUUCAAAACAAACACUGCUUUCAACAUUAAGCAUUGAAGUGGCAGGCAAGACUUGUUUCCAUUUGUGUCUCCCAAAUUCUAAGAUCAAAAUGAGGGGAUAUUUCUUUAAUAUUAAAUUAGUAAAUAACCUAUAGCCUUGCUUUAUACAGUGCUUGCUUUAUUCAGUAUUAAAAAACAUCCUCUUCACUGGCAGCAACCAACCGUAUAUAUCAUGGAAACUCAGAGUUGCCUGCUUCCUUGCUUACUUCUAAAUGCUGAAAAAUCCAAAUCAAGUUGUUAUACCAGCAUACAGUUGAUAAAAAUCAAUGAAGUUCACCACAUGGAAAACCAGCUAUAACAAUUUGUUCUUCCAUCUUAAAAAAAUAGACAAGCUUUUACAUAAAAUAAACCUAAAACAUUGGCGUAUUUAUUUAAAUUAUUCAGUAUGUUUAACUCUAUAGACAUAAAAAAGAGAAAAAAAACGUGUUUCAAAAACCAUAAUCUAGAAAUAUAACAAUCACAAUUUAUUUCUACUUCCUAGUUUGUGCAAUACUAUGGCUUAAUAGCAUGUAUCCAUUGACUGCUCUAAAUGUAUUUUUUCUGUAUUUUUACUGUAUCUGUGUACAUAUAUAGCAAAACUAGAAAUGGUUCAAUGAAAAGAAUGUAUACUAUACAGUGAAGUCUUCUCUAAGUAAUUUUUUACCUGCAGAACUUGGAUAGUUCAAAGCCCAUUUUCCACAGGGUUCUUUUGUAUAUCACUGAUUUAUUGAAUGUGACCAGAGACUCUUUCAUUAGAGACUUUUAGAAAGAGUGACAAACAGUGCUCAGAAAUUUAGUUGUACAAUUUGUCCUGUAUGGGAACAGUGAAAUUAAAUUGGUGACUCUCAAGGUCCCUACAUAUUAAGUGCUAGGUGUUUACAAAAUUUAGCAACAAACUCAAAACUGAAAGAUUUUUGAGCAUGAACAAUCGCCUUGUCAUAUCAACAAUAGCUUUUUCAAUAACUUCCAAACAAUACAGGAUUAAGAAACACAACAUUGAUCAUUCUAAUCCAUGUUUUUACAGUCUGUAAUAUCUUUCAUUAUUAGACCAUAAACUGACAAAAGUAUGAUUUUAAUAGAUACUGAAAAUACACUUGAAAGUAUUUGGACACACACAUACAUUAAAAGUAUCAGACAGUAGUGUGUAAUCUAAAUUGUGAAAUAUGUUUUGAACACUAUGUUUAUAGCCCAGAGAGUUGAUCGAUGAUUUGGAGAAGGGCAGACAUCUGGAUCAUUAUAGUAUCUGUAUGAACAAAAAAAUAGAAAGAUGAUUUCACAGCCAUUUUUGACUUCUCUGAAUAAUUUCAAUCUGACUAUGCAAAAACUCUUCCCCAAGCAGACAACAGCAUUGUACCCAUAUCAAUUAUUGUAGGCAGUCAAUGUAUGGCUGCUGAAUAAGUGAUUCAGUCCUUACAGAAUUGGUAUUUAGAUCUGGCAUCUGUUUUUCUUGGCUUCUUUCACUGCUGAUUCUGUCAGUUUCUUAAUCUGAGUCCCUUGCUUUCUCUUACAUGCAUAGAGAUUUUUUCAUUGCCUCUAAAUUUUCUGCAGCAAGCAACAAGUUGACCUGUCUUCUUUCCUGUGAUCCUGUUUUGUUCAGACACAGUGUGCAACACAUUCUAUAAUCCUAUCAAGGAUAUUUCAACCUUAGCAUAUUGUUUGAUUUUGGUUCCCCUCUCUAUUGCUCCGUACACAAAGGACUGUGAGACAAAAUGAAGAAUCCACUGUAAAAGGUAAAAUACUUCAGGUAACAAUAGGAAUUUUUCCUCCCAAGUACCUAUUCCUUAAACAGAACAGAAAAAAAGUCCUAGGCCACCACAAAAGACAUUCAAAACCUGAAAGGCAGCAAAGGAAUCAAAAGUCUUGCUGAUAACAGAUUUCUAACAGUGUUUUCACAGCCAUGUCAUCACUUCCUUCUCUUUAAUUUAGAUGCAGUAAAGCCCAUUUCAUCUCUUUCUAUCCUGAGAAUCUUAAUAGCUAUCAAACUUAGACCCACGAGCUGCCUAAAUAUUUACAGGCAAUGUCAAAUCUAGCCAUGGUACAGAACAACAUGGUACAAAACAGUGUAUAGUGUGAUAUAGUCUAAUACUAUAUUACACAGUGUACAUAUUAUAUAGGGUAACUCAAUAUACUGCAAUACUGCUUAAAGCUGCUCAGGACCUUCUGUUAACCCACCCAUAUUCAGGCACGGUAGUUUAAAAUGCAAACACUUUGGUAGUGGCCAAGGUCAGAGACAAAAUGCAGUACUAAAAAUCCCUCAGCUAUCACCCUGAAGGGCAUUUCUAAUGUUAAUCCAGAAAUCUAAUUAGGCAGCCUGACUAAAAAAAAUCCCACUUGAAAAACCAGUUAAGGUCAUUAAAUUGAAUAGAUUCCAGCUAUCAUGUGGAACAACACUAAUCAUAUGGAAUGGUAUUCGCUGUUCACUUUAGCAUUACCAAGCAAAAUAUUUGCAUGCAAUGUAAACAGAAAAAGAAAAUAGUGCAAUAUUCAGUCCUUGGAAAUGGAAAACAGAAGAACAAUCUGUAAUGAUGGCCAAUAUGACCAGCAUUUCCUGUACAGAUGUACAUGCAGGUGGCUCACAGACAUGAGUAGAUGAGCUUAGAGCACAUUUUUGGGAGGGGUUUCAAAGAUGGUUGAAAGACUGCUUUCCAUGAUAAUGAGAGGAUGGAAAAGAAUUUCUAGAGGCAUCUGUUUUGCAAGGAUCUUAUGUAAUAUUCAUUCAAUGCUAUGGAUCUCUUGCUGUCACAACCAGUGACAACAAAAAGGGACUUGGAGAAAAACAGAAUCUUAAAAUAUUAAGGGAAGUAAUUAUACAGAAAUAUUUUAUUACUACUUAUUUGGCAUUGUUUCAAGCAAGGUCACAAAGCUGUUGAAAAUAUGCUUAAUUUUCUGUGAACCUUCCAAAAAUGUCAGGGCAAAAAUACAGAAAACAAUGACCUUUCUGAUUCUUACAGAGACUUCAGAAAAUUGCUUCCUCAUUUCAGUGUAUGCUUGCCUCCUGGACUUUUAUUUAAAAAAAGGCAAAAAAUUUAAAAGAAGCAAAAAAAAAGCAACAAAUUUAUAAUCACCAGAGGUACAUAGAGUAUAUUUCAUCUUCUCUGUAAUAUUCAUAAAGUUCCACCUAAUCAAUCACUUACUCAUUAGUCCUUUUCAAAAUUCCUUCCGAUUUAUUCCAUAUUAUGGAAUACUGAAGUACAAAGGCUGUUGAAAUACAAAAGCCAAUUGUAAUUUCUUUUACUGGCUGCUCAGUUAAACACCACUACUUUUCCACAUGAAAAUAAAGGGAUUAUUUUUUCAUGCUUUCUAAUUCUGUGGGGUUUUUUUCUCAUGUUUAAAAACUUGAUGACAUUUGAAGAGCUAUAUCAUUCACUUUAAGAUCUGAAAGUAAAGUAGCAAGUCUGACUUUGGGAAUUCCAUCCAAAUUCAAUAAUUGAACUCUUGAAGUCUGUGUGAGCUCUGCUACUCAACACACAAAUAAGGAGAGCUUCUACAGAUGUCUGCUUCACACAAUCUCACGUAGUAAAGGUCUGGUUUUCCCGUCCUCCUUCCCCAGGCAAAAUUAACUUACAUUAUUUGCCCAGGAACAUUUCUCUGUGUGUGACUGGCCCCCCUUGCUCCUUGCCCUGGUAGCAUCCUGCCAAGGAGUCCCAGAAAAACCCAUCUGUCCACAUAGUGCAUCUGUCUGCUGCAUCUCAUCUUUGAAUACUGUUUGCCAUAAAUUCCAACACAUAAUGGAACAAUUUAUAAUAAUUAGGGCUUUUAGAGUAAAAGUGGAGCAGCUUCAGAGAGGUUGGUAAGAAAGGAGCAUCAAAUAGGCACAUGGGUCAUUUGGCUCAACAGCCUUAAAAAUUUUCUUCCUUCUGCCAAGACAGCAGUUAAAUAAAAUAAAAUUAAUUCCUGAAAGCAUAUGUCAGCAAAAUUUUCCAGGGCUUUUACAUUCUCUUUAAUAAAAACAUUUCUUAGAGGCAUGCCAUUAUUUCCCACCCUCUAAAUGAGUUAUUUACUGAUUUUUACUGACUAUGAGCAAUCCUAGUAACAUUUGAAAUACUAGUAGAAUACUUAUUUUAUUAGCCAACACUACCUUUCUACUGUAUAUCACCUUACAGGAAAUGAAACAGGUAAAAACAAUAUACAGAGAAUUCUUUUUGAGAAGUCAUAUUAUAUUCAGAUGACUGUACUCAGGAGAAAUAGCUUUGAAUUUAGGGGAGAAUCCCUGUUCUCUUCAAAUCUUUCUUUUCUGUCUUGGGUAUACUCCCAACACUCUUGUGAUUCUAUACUGAAUAAUAUUGAUAAAUUCUAUACGGAAAUCACAUUAGCCUUUCAUAGGCAUUAUACUGAUAAGAAAGAGAGAAGGAUAGAAGGAUCGUCACUUGCUGUUUCCAUGUUAUGAUUUUUUUAGGGUGAACUCUCUAAUUCCACCACCAGUGCUAGUCAUUAAAUAACAAGAUUAAUUAAUGAGAAGAACAGUCUAUUUUACCUUGGCAUACAUUCAUAGACCAGUAUGGUUCUCCUGAUGUUUAAGAAAGUUUCAUAUUAAAAAUAUAAUUUCAUUUAAAGAACUCAGGGUUCUACCAAUAUGCAAAGCUUGCUCACCUAAGUCUCCAUUUGUAAUUAAAGGGACUUCAACAGUCCCUUGUUCAAAGAAAAGAGAUUUUUUUAUAAUAGAUUUGUAGCUUUUAUAUGUGACAGCAAUGGGUGGAAUUAUUUUUAACUAUAAAAAUAUCCUAAAUCUUAUCCUCUAAUAUGUCUGUAGUACUUUUAGGGUUUUUCUUUUCCUGUGGUUUACACAAAAGCAGGUUGUUAAAUUGAUAUUUUGUUCUGUGGGCUCCAAGCCUAGUUCUCAGCUAUAAGCAGGGGCAACUCUGAAUCCAUUUGAACGAUAUCAAAUUACAAACUGAGGGAUGUAAUUAGAGUCAUCCUCUCGUAAUCAUUUAGACUUUAGACACUGCCUCCUGAAAAGCCCAGGUUGAUUUCAAGCUCUGAUUUGCUUCUAUCAUCUCUGGUUUUUUAUUCUUUUUUUUUGUUUUGUUUUGUUUUUUUUUUCACCUAGCUGCUCAGUUAACAAUAUCACUGUGAGCAAAGCCUCUUCUAAUUUGAUUUUAUAGUCUGGAUUUUGCAGACACUCAAGGUUUUAAUUACAUUGACUGCAUAUGCUGGCACUAGCUGAGCCAGUUUUUAAGCCUGUCUAUGACUGUACAUUAUGAAGCUGUUACCAUGGGCAAGGUCUGCUGAGUUGCAGUCAUUUACAAACUUCCACAUAACCUACCAGAUUCUUUUUUUAUAAGAAUGAAAUAUAUGUCUCUUCUGUCACAGUACAAAUACAGCUAUUUGAUUUUAUGUUACUGAAGUUAUAUUAUUCAUCAUAGGCUAUGCAUUCCAAAUCUUGGAAAUAUAUAUCUUGCAUAUUCUGCCGCCAGCUCUAUAAUAUAUUUUCUUUAAUCAUUCCUUUCUAUAUCUGAAUUUUAUCGCUCAUUUACAUAGUGCCCAAAGUUUUGGUGUUGUUUUACUCCCUUGAAUUUACGUAUUUUAACUUGAUUAAUUGAAUUGACACAUUUCUGCUAAAUCUGUACAAUUGCAACCAAACACAUCAGGAACAAUAUUCAUUUUUUCCCUGGUGUUCUUGAACUUCAACAAGUCCUACUGCCACAAUUAUCUAGUAUGCUUCUCUUGCUGCCUUUUAAUAAUGUGCUAGCAUUCCAGCAGUUUCACUCAACAAACAGACUCAUAGGAAAAAAAGUCCAUCUCAUUUUCACAAAAGCUUUCUGCCUUUCUUCUGAAACUGUGAAGACCUCUUCUGUGCUGCUUUAUGAAAAAAAGGAAGCACCAGGAACCACAGGUAAAAUAAAAUAAUUAUUUAUUUUAAGCAACUGCCUAUGGAUACUAUAGUAGAAAGAUAUCACAACUUCUUCUUUUAUUGCCUUGUAAUUUCUAUGGAAAUUGAAUGUGAAGGGGUUAUGAAAGUGAGUGUGAUAUUUCCUGAACAGAAGCAUAAAUGGAAAAAGUAAGAGAUUUUCUUAGCUUUUAGCUGAACUCUAAAUUUAUUAAUUUGACUCUUAAUAAAGACUUAAUGAUAGAUACAUUUAACUUAAAAGAGUUUCUGUUCUAUUGCAAUAGAGAAAGCAAAAUAUUCAAUUGACUUCUAUACUUUGAUAUAGAAAUCACUCUCCACAUAAAUGCUGGCCCAGAUUAUAUUUCAAAAAAAGAGGCACCUUCCAUAAGCUAUGGCACCUGCCAGUGUCAUUUUGGAGGAGGGCUUGGGAGACAGACCCAGGCUAUUGGACCUACAGAAACCUGGAUGUAAGCUUAGCUAAAGAAAUUCAAUCUAGUUGUAAUAAUUGACUAUCUCAUAUGAGUCUAUGUGAAAGAUUUUCACUUCUGGAUAGUGGAUGGUGAAAAAAGGAUUAAAUUUCUUGAAAGAGAUAAUUUAGUUAUUUGAUAUUGGCAUGGAAUUUGCAUAUUAAAUUAUCCAAAUUUGCAAAUGGAAAAAGACAUCAGUUUGCAACAAAUCUUUAAAAAUUCAGCACUAUUUUAUAAUUUUACUAUAUCUAUUCUACUCAUUCUAGCUGAACAAUGAAAAAUAUGAAAGACAGAAAAUUAAAUUGAAUUUUUCUUGGUCAGCUGACAUAUGGUGAAUUUUCUGUUGACAUCACAUGUAAAUCCAUCGCAGUCACUCUUGAAUAGUGGUUAUAGGAGACCCAAGGCUGAGCAGAUAACCUUUAAAAAAAAAAAAAAAAAGAAAACAUGAGUGGAUAUAAAACAAUUUAUCCCACUAUUUGAGCAGUAUGCCAGUACUUAGCAUGUACAAUACAGUCACAGUGAAUAUCCAGUGUAUAACCAGUUUUAUUCAAAACAUAGGCUAUAGAACAAUUCACUAGAUUGCUUUUUCCCUUCCUCUAGUUCUUCAUGAUCUUAAAUUACAUUUAAACACUUCAGACAAAGAAAAAGUUUAGACACAGAGGCACAAAGUGUUUUCAUAACUUUUUUUUCAAAAAGCUUUGCAUGUAAUUUAUAUAUUUGCCUAAAAUUGCUCUUCUGCUAAUCAGUUGCAUCCAUAGACAACAUUUCCUCUUUCUUUGUUGUAAAUGAUUUGACUAUGAAUUAUAGCUCUGACACAUUCUAUUCAAUGUGACAACAUUCUUAAUUCUAGAGACAAGAAGCUCUGGCAGUUUUCUGAUGAUCUAUUCAUAUGAGGUUCUUUUACAUAUUUCUACAUUUUUACUGUGAAGAAAAUUAACUCUUUGAAUUGGAGAAUGAACUCUCAAAGAAUCUACCCUUCAAGAGUUAGGUUCCCCAAACUCUGAUUCUUAUCCUGGUAAUUCUCUUCUCUUGGAAGAAUUUCUACUCUUUUAUAGAAGAUACCCCCAGUCUGAAUGGAUAUACUGGUGUGCAGGAAGCACCAUCAUACCCAGAGUCCACUAAAGGCAUUCAUGGUUGUUGUCAGCAUUCUAUCAUGGAUAAUUUCUGCAAAAAGCAAGGAUUUGUCUUUGGAUCCUUAGCAAGGAUUUCUCUUUAAUGACUGUAAAUUGAAGUUAAUCAGAAGAAAAGACUAGGUGAACCUUGAGAUGGACAAAGCUAAGGUAUUCAGAAGAUGCAAAGAAAAGAUGGAAAGAGAACACAGAGAAGUCAGCACACAAAUGAAGCGCGAGGUUGGGAAUAAACUGAAAAAAGAUGGUUAAAACUUAAGUAAACUCUUCCUGAUUGUGGUCUCAAGUAUUUUUUCUGUCUUAAACCUCCAAACAUAAUUUAUUAAGUAUUCUCAUUACAGCUACAUGCUAGUCUUAGUACAUGAUUUAAUAAUAUUCUUUAAAAAAUUAGUUGCUUAACUUUCAUAAGACAUUUCCCCCCCUAUUUGAGUUGUGGAAAAUGAUCAUAUUCCUUAAAUGACUUCAUAUAUUUAGGAAACUUUCUACACACAGGUGCGUUAACAUUGAAUUAAUCUAUUUGUCUUCAUAUUAUUUGUCAUACACAAAACAGAGUAUAACUUUUAAAUUAAAAAUAUAAAAUGUGUGUCUCAAAAGUGUUUUACACAAAUUUAAGCACCCCUGUCAUAAAGGGAAUCGUCAUUUCCUUCAGCUACUACAUCAUAAGGUUUAUACUAAGAAAUAAAAUAUUUUCCUGAUUUCAGUAUCCAUUCUGCAUUAUCUGUCUCUAAAACAUCAAGAUAGAUCCUGACACUUGUGCCAUCAUAUGUAAAGAAAGGAUUUUUAUAUUAUUUCUCAAAUUCUGUAAUUUAAAAUACUGUCCAAAUCCUCUGUUGUGUUGUUUUAAUUUACUGUGUUUAACAGAAAAAUGUAAACUCAUAAAUAAAAACAUUUUGGUUUUCUACUAUAUAGUCAAUCUAUUUAGUCAGAAAAUACUAGGCAGAUCUAUAGUCACAAUACUCCCCAAAACAAAACAACAACUAAAUACAAAAAAUAAAACCAACCAAACAAAUGAAACACCCAAAACCCCAAAAAUCUCUAUAAGCAGGAUAUAUAUGUGCAUAAAAAAGAGGAAGCAAUAGCUAGUAUUUUAUAUGUAGCACAUGACAAACACUUUCACUCUCUACAUAAUUCAAUAAAUCCUGCAGACUAUUGUGAUUUUUUUGAAACAGUGAUUAGAUUACUCUAUUGCAAAUAGCACAAACAAUUUAAAAAUAUUUUUGAACAUUUGCGUGCAGUUCCGAAAUUUAUGUUUGCAUUGUAACUUAUUAAUUAUUUGUUUAUGCAUUCAAAAAUAAAAUAAAACAUGGAAUCUUUUAAAUUGUUAAUGAUGACAAGAAAAUGUUAAAGAAAGUAAAUUCUGGAUCUCCUCCAUCAAUGAAAACAGUAAAACACUACCCUUAAAUAAUGAUGCUUUUCAGAAAAAUGCAUAUUCAUAUUAGCAAAUAAAUUCUUAAUUUUAUAUCAGAUAUACCUAUUUUAACCUAAUUUCCUAGUGGAAACUACUGUGGUAAAUGACAGAAUUUACAAAGCUGUGAAAUGGACAGAAGAAGCAUGGUUGAGCAUGUUAAAGAAUAAAGACUUUUGUAACCAUUCUUUGUACAACUUAUAUGAUAUCAUAUGGCUUGCUACUUUAAUAAAAUAAAGGUUUGCUAGCCUAAUUUUAAAUACAGAUUUGAAAAUCAUAAUGCAAAGUAUAAAAUACAAAUUAAUAUAUUUAUUUAGAGGUGCUUUUUAGAAGCUUGCACAACAUUACAAUUGUUCAGCACAUGCCAUUUUGACAUAAAGGCAGGAUAGACUCCUCAAAUACAUAAAACACAAAGGCACUUGCUCAAGGUAGGAUACAUAUUUCUACAGGAAGUUGAAGAGUCCAAAUAAAAAACUGUGCCUCUUCACCUAUAUUUAUUUUAGCUCUACUCCAAAAUACCUUAACAAGUGAAACAAUCCAACAGAUGAUGAACAGCUGUGAGCUUCACAAACUGUCUCUGGACUUACUACACUGGACAUAAAAUAUUGAAUACACUACUUCUAAACAAAAAUUUAGAGGAGUGCAAUUUUAAUUUAACAACAGGCUUUCCCGUAAGCACAAUAAAACACACUCUAGCCACAGAAUAACCUUCAAUAAAAUCAAUAAGCAUUAAGAAUUUAAAUAGUUUCCGGGACUGGGGACUACAGGGUACCAAGUCUCAAUUUGGCAAGGACAGAGUGCUUUGCUGAAUAAGGAGUUCAAGAUAUACAUACAGUUUAGCUGUAAAAUAUUUUACCAAGUAUGGCCCAUAAUGAUGAAUUAAAUGAAAAUCAAGAAUGUUUCUAGUCUUUCAAAAGUACUUUUAGCUUAAAAUUAAUUAAACUUCUUUUACAACACUUUUAAUGGUGCAGACUUUUACAUUUUCUUUCUUCCAUUGCAAUCUGUUCAACCAUUCAAUAGACUAUGAUUUUAAUAUUUGGUUCAUGUCUUGUAAAUUGAUCUAUGAAAAAUCAAAAGUGUUAAAGAGAUCAGUUGUAGUCUAAACAAAAAUCAAAUAUUAGCUCCUGGAGAGCAUUAGCUGGGGUUUUCUACAAUAUAAAUUAUAACGUGCAGUACUGAAUUUCUUGUAAGAAAUAUAUUGAUAACAUACUUGCACUUAUAAAAUUUCCCUGAACAGUUUUCACAAAAUCUAGUGCCUAGUCCACAAAGUCCUUCAUCCUUAUUUAAAAUUAAUAUGGAUUUUAACACACAUUCACAGAUAGUUACAUAGGAAAUAUUAGCAUGCUUAGGACAUAACUGAAAAAAGUUAUUCUCUGAAGCAUUUGCAAUUUUAGGUGGAUACCACUUGAGAAGUACACAUGCAAAAAGGUGAAAUGACUAGCUUCUGUCACCACAGAUAUGUCAGUGUCUCCAUUAUCCAGAUCAAAUUUAGCUAUAGUUUGCAUAGCGAGGAAGGGUGAUUCACCUUGGGUCAAAGAUUCAGUGCUCAGUAAAAGGCUAAAAUUUUUGGUGACCUUAUCUAUUGCUGGCACUUGUCACUGUGGGGAUCAAUUUAACUUUACAGCAUCCAAAGCAUCUUUCAUUCCUUUUUGCUGCCACAGUACAAUUCCACACAAUUCUUUCACUGAGUCCUCUUAGUUUCCCAGUGGGCACUUAAGACUCCCGGGGUAAUUGUGUAAUGGAAUAUAGUCUGACUCUCUGCAACCUACUGCCUUUCUGGCACUCCUCAACAAAAACAAAUAAAAAAAAAAAUCACCAGCAUUCAAAAACCUCCUUUACUCUUCUACUCUGUAAAGCAUGACUAUAGGAGAAUUAAUAGUUUAAUAGUUUUC